GAUGAACGCUGGCGGUGUGCCUAAUACAUGCAAGUCGAGCGAACAGACGAGGAGCUUACUCCUCUGACGUUAGCGGCGGACGGGUGAGUAACACGUGGAUAACCUACCUAUAAGACUGGGAUAACUUCGGGAAACCGGAGCUAAUACCGGAUAACAUGUUGAACCGCAUGGUUCAACAGUGAAAGACGGUCUUGCUGUCACUUAUAGAUGGAUCCGCGUCGCAUUAGCUAGUUGGUAAGGUAACGGCUUACCAAGGCAACGAUGCGUAGCCGACCUGAGAGGGUGAUCGGCCACACUGGAACUGAGACACGGUCCAGACUCCUACGGGAGGCAGCAGUAGGGAAUCUUCCGCAAUGGGCGAAAGCCUGACGGAGCAACGCCGCGUGAGUGAAAAAGGUCUUCGGAUCGUAAAACUCUGUUAUUAGGGAAGAACAAAUGUGUAAGUAACUAUGCACGUCUUGACGGUACCUAAUCAGAAAGCCACGGCUAACUACGUG
This 497-nucleotide ribosomal RNA is filed under the name uncultured bacterium. Its description in RNAcentral is "partial 16S ribosomal RNA". It matches the Rfam family "Bacterial small subunit ribosomal RNA", at positions 28 to 507 of the family's 1533-position model. The record is from RNAcentral.